CCUACGUGAGGCAGCAGUGGGGAAUAUUGGGCAAUGGGCGCAACCCUGACCCAGCAACGCCGCGUGCAGGAAGAAGGCUUUCGGGUUGUACACUUCUUUUCUCAGGGACGAAACAAGUGACGCUACCUGAUUAAUACGCCACGACUAACUACGUGCUAGCAGCCGUGGUAAUACGGAGGGGGCAAGCGUUAUCCGGGUUUACUGGGUGUAAAGGGCGUGGAGGCGGGAAAGCAAGUCAGAUGUGAAAACCAUGGGCUCAACCUGUGGCCUGCAUUGGAAACUGUGUGUAUUGGGGACUGGAGAGGCAGACGGAAUGCCUAGUGUAGCGGUGAAAUGCGUAGAUAUUAGGAGGAACACCAGUGGCGAAGGCGGUCUGCUGGACAGCUACUGACGCUGAGGCGCGAAGGCGUGGGGAGCAAACAGGAUUAGAUACCCGAGUAGUC
This 443-nucleotide ribosomal RNA is filed under the name uncultured bacterium. Its description in RNAcentral is "partial 16S ribosomal RNA". It matches the Rfam family "Bacterial small subunit ribosomal RNA", at positions 338 to 795 of the family's 1533-position model. The record is from RNAcentral.